CAGCCGCCGCGGUAAUACGAAGGGUGCAAACGUUGCUCGGAAUUAUUGGGCGUAAAGCGUGCGUAGGCGGUGAGUUAAGUCUGCUGUGAAAUCCCCGGGCUCAACCUGGGAAUGGCAGUGGAUACUGGCUCGCUAGAGUGUGUCAGAGGAUGGUGGAAUUCCCGGUGUAGCGGUGAAAUGCGUAGAGAUCGGGAGGAACAUCAGUGGCGAAGGCGGCCAUCUGGGACAACACUGACGCUGAGGCACGAAAGCGUGGGGAGCAAAUAGGAUUAGAUACCCCCGUAGUCCCUGUCUCUUAUAA
Molecule: ribosomal RNA, 301 nt
Filed under: uncultured bacterium
Lineage: Bacteria
Description: partial 16S ribosomal RNA
Rfam family: Bacterial small subunit ribosomal RNA
Source: RNAcentral